Molecule: ribosomal RNA, 475 nt
Filed under: uncultured Desulfobulbus sp.
Lineage: Bacteria; Pseudomonadati; Thermodesulfobacteriota; Desulfobulbia; Desulfobulbales; Desulfobulbaceae
Description: bacterial SSU rRNA
Rfam family: Bacterial small subunit ribosomal RNA
Source: RNAcentral
GACGGGGCCCGCACAAGCGGUGGAGUAUGUGGUUUAAUUCGAUGCAACGCGAAGAACCUUACCUGGUCUUGACAUCCCGGAGACCCUUAGGAAACUAGGGGGUGCUUCCAUCUGGAAGAAUCUGGAGACAGGUGCUGCAUGGCUGUCGUCAGCUCGUGUCGUGAGAUGUUGGGUUAAGUCCCGCAACGAGCGCAACCCUUGCCUUUAGUUGCCAGCAGUUCGGCUGGGCACUCUAAAGGGACUGCCGGUGUUAAACCGGAGGAAGGUGGGGAUGACGUCAAGUCCUCAUGGCCUUUAUGACCAGGGCUACACACGUACUACAAUGGCCGAUACAAAGGGCAGCGACACUGCGAGGUGAAGCCAAUCCCGUAAAAUCGGUCUCAGUCCGGAUUGGAGUCUGCAACUCGACUCCAUGAAGUUGGAAUCGCUAGUAAUCGUGGAUCAGCAUGCCACGGUGAACACGUUCCCGGGCCUU